Pantherophis guttatus is the source of this 378-nucleotide non-coding RNA. Lineage: Eukaryota; Metazoa; Chordata; Lepidosauria; Squamata; Colubridae. The record is from RefSeq and is a predicted model, not a curated record.
GAAGGAAAUGAAUCAAAUUCCUCCUUCUUCGAUUUUGACUAGGCAGGGGGGAAAAACCCAAGUUGUGGCUUUGUCCCCAUUCCAUGGCAAGCCAUUUGAAAGAGAAUCACAGGGAUUGAACUUUUACUACUAGCAACAUUAAAAAGUUACAUUUGGCUCAAAUGUCCUACAGGAAUUGCGAACCAGUGAAUGCCAGCACAUAUGGAUUGAUUGAAGAAUACAGUAGUGGCACUCACAGAAUCCACUCAUACUGACACACAAAUGUUCCCCAAAAGAGAACCACCAUUGGUUCCAACGCCUGAGAAGCCAACCUUUCAAACAUCCUUUGGAGAGGAGGGUGCAAAGAGUGGUCCUCAUCCGUAAGAGCAGCACUGCAUU